UUUUAAUUUGAAAUUCAAUGGAUCUGGCGGUUUUUAAAUCUUUUCAGAGGAACCUGUAGUUUAAAUGAUAGUCCACGAUUUUUUUUACCUUAAUUUUCUUGUAUAUCUCUGUCGUUGAAUGUAGUUAAAACUUUACUUUCUCUUUUUUUAUUAGAUUUAUGUUAGGUCAAGGUGCAGUUAUAUUCAGGUUACUAUGGGUUACAUUAAUAUUUGUUUGUUGAUUUUAUUUAAAUAAUGUUUAUGAAUUUGGAUUUGAUAGUAAUUUUUUUUCUUAAAUUUUUUGAAUUUUGCUCUUAAUUAUGU
This 303-nucleotide ribosomal RNA is filed under the name Bubastia josifovi. Its description in RNAcentral is "partial small subunit ribosomal RNA". The record is from RNAcentral. Lineage: Eukaryota; Metazoa; Arthropoda; Insecta; Hemiptera; Issidae.